RNAcentral lists this RNase P RNA (373 nucleotides) under Thermodesulfatator autotrophicus. RNAcentral's name for it is "RNase P RNA component class A". It matches the Rfam family "Bacterial RNase P class A". From Rfam's summary of the family: Ribonuclease P (RNase P) is a ubiquitous endoribonuclease, found in archaea, bacteria and eukarya as well as chloroplasts and mitochondria. Lineage: Bacteria; Pseudomonadati; Thermodesulfobacteriota; Thermodesulfobacteria; Thermodesulfobacteriales; Thermodesulfatatoraceae. The record is from RNAcentral.
GGGGUCGGUCGGAGGUCGCCGGGGGCUCAGGGCCCUCGGAGGAAAGUCCGAGCUCCACAGGGCAGGGUGCCGGGUAACACCCGGAGGGGGAAACCCCUGGAAAGUGCCACAGAAAAUAGACCGCCCUGUACCCAUUUUCCAGGGUACGGGGUAAGGGUGAAAAGGUGGGGUAAGAGCCCACCGCCUCUCCUGGUAACAGGAGAGGGCAUGGCAAACCCCACCCGGAGAAAGGCCAUGUAGGGGAGCGUUUGAGGGUGGCCCGCCCGAUGCUCCCGGGUAGGCCGCUUGAGCGGUUGGGUAACCAACCGCCUAGAGGAAUGACCUCCACCCGCUUAAAGCGGGUACAGAACUCGGCUUAUGACCGGCCCCCAUC